GUAAGGAAUAUUGGUCAAUGGACGAAAGUCUGAACCAGCCAUGCCGCGUGGAGGAUGAAGGUCCUCUGGAUUGUAAACUUCUUUUAUAUGGGACGAAAAUGGGGCUUUCUAGCUCAACUGACGGUACCAUAUGAAUAAGCACCGGCUAACUCCGUGCCAGCAGCCGCGGUAAUACGGAGGGUGCAAGCGUUAUCCGGAUUCACUGGGUUUACAGGGUGCGUAGGUGGAUUGGUACGUCAGAGGUGAAAUCACCGAGCUCAACUCGGAAACUGCCUUUGAUACUAUCAAUCUUGAAUAGUGUGGAGGUUAGCGGAAUAUGUCAUGUAGCGGUGAAAUGCUUAGGUAUGACAUAGAACACCAAUUGCGAAGGCAGCUGGCUACACAUAUAUUGACACUGAGGCACGAAAGCGUGGGGAUCAAACAGGAUUAGAAACCCGGGUAGUCC
This 445-nucleotide ribosomal RNA is filed under the name uncultured bacterium. RNAcentral describes it as "partial 16S ribosomal RNA". It matches the Rfam family "Bacterial small subunit ribosomal RNA", at positions 354 to 796 of the family's 1533-position model. The record is from RNAcentral.